AACGAACGCUGGCGGCAUGCCUAACACAUGCAAGUCGAACGAGACCUUCGGGUCUAGUGGCGCACGGGUGCGUAACGCGUGGGAACCUGCCCUUAGGUUCGGAAUAACUCCCCGAAAGGGGUGCUAAUACCGGAUAAUGUCUUCGGACCAAAGAUUUAUCGCCUUUGGAUGGGCCCGCGUUGGAUUAGCUAGUUGGUAGGGUAAAAGCCUACCAAGGCGACGAUCCAUAGCUGGUCUGAGAGGAUGAUCAGCCACACUGGGACUGAGACACGGCCCAGACUCCUACGGGAGGCAGCAGUGGGGAAUAUGGGACAAUGGGCGAAAGCCUGCUCCAGCAAUGCCGCGUGAAUGAUGAAGGCCGUAGGGUUGUAAAGCUCUGUUACCCGGGAUGAUAAUGACAGUACCGGGAGAAUAAGCUCCGGCUAACUCCGU
RNAcentral lists this ribosomal RNA (432 nucleotides) under uncultured bacterium. RNAcentral describes it as "partial 16S ribosomal RNA". It matches the Rfam family "Bacterial small subunit ribosomal RNA", at positions 29 to 506 of the family's 1533-position model. The record is from RNAcentral.